RNAcentral lists this ribosomal RNA (547 nucleotides) under uncultured Diversispora. RNAcentral describes it as "SSU rRNA". It matches the Rfam family "Eukaryotic small subunit ribosomal RNA", at positions 548 to 1098 of the family's 1831-position model. The record is from RNAcentral. Lineage: Eukaryota; Fungi; Glomeromycota; Glomeromycetes; Diversisporales; Diversisporaceae.
UUGGAGGGCAAGUCUGGUGCCAGCAGCCGCGGUAAUUCCAGCUCCAAUAGCGUAUAUUAAAGUUGUUGCAGUUAAAAAGCUCGUAGUUGAACUUCGGGGUUUACCCAUUGGUCAGGCUUAAUUGUCUGUACUGGUGAGAUGAAUCUCUACCUUCUGAGGAACUUUCGUGCCAUUUAUUUGGUGUGAUGGGAAAUCAGGACUGUUACUUUGAAAAAAUUAGAGUGUUUAAAGCAGGCUAACGUCUGAAUACAUUAGCAUGGAAUAAUAAAAUAGGACGGUGGUCCUGUUUUAUUGGUUUCUGAAUCACCGUAAUGAUUAAUAGGGAUAGUUGGGGGCAUUAGUAUUCAAUUGUCAGAGGUGAAAUUCUUGGAUUUAUUGAAGACUAACUUCUGCGAAAGCAUUUGCCAAGGAUGUUUUCAUUAAUCAAGAACGAAAGUUAGGGGAUCGAAGACGAUCAGAUACCGUCGUAGUCUUAACCAUAAACUAUGCCGACUAGGGAUCGGACGAUGUUAAAUUUUAUUGACUCGUUCGGCGCCUUACGGGAAAC